AAACACUUUUUUCAUGCAUGUCUUCCUCACACCGCAAAUGUUAUAGUUAAACAUAUUCAAUGAUUCAAAUACACAUUAGUGCACUUUAUUUGAAAGAGUCAAGUAACGAUCAGAAUAAUGAAUAUAUAUACAUAGAUCUACCUAAGAAAGUAACAGUUUGUACCCGAUAAAUAAUAAAGAAAAUAAAGAAUAUGGCAGCUAUAAAUUUUGAAGACUUUUUUUUUGCCAUCACAUGGCUGGGCGCCUGGGCCGAAGUGUUUUCUAUUCCUCAUUCCUUGUUAUCCUUGCUUACUAAUUCCCGAGACAGUUCCUUAACACCCAGGAACUUCAAAGAGAUAUAUAAAUUGAAAGGGUUGAAUAUAAGAAACACAAGGUGGGACUAUUUAAUAAUUUGAGGCCAGAUAAUCAAUUAAGGGACGCGUCUAGGGAGCGGCCGGCUGCUCCCUAGCGUUCCCCAGCGGCCGCUAUAAAAGGAAAGAUUAUGUCCCCCAUCCCAGAAAAGGAAAACCCUCCCCCGAUAGCAACAAAGACGUGUGAACCCAACAAAGCACGCAUUGGACGUGGUCCCCAGGCCAUCACGUGCCCUUCCCUCCCCUUCUGAAGCUCUCACACCUCUCUGGCCACCAACUUCUUUUUCCUCACGCCCCUACUUGACCCCACCUUGGGUUCCCAGGUCUGGAUCUCCAAUGCCAGAGCUGCCAUGGCAGACGAAUCAAAGUUAAAUAACAGCUGAUCUGGAACAAUUUGGUGCAAAACAAGAGGAGAGAGGGUGAUAGAUCAGAACGUACCAGGCAGUAGGCACUAGCAAGGGUGAAAAAAAAGAGGUGAUCCUUUUCUCCUCUUGUUCAGGUCCUUCCUCCUUGUCUUUCCCUUUCUCCCUCACAAAAUUUCUCUUUGCAAAAAUAGCUUCUCCAUAGUUGUUGAAGAUAACAUAAACAGAGAUCAAAACAGGGAGAUCUGGUACUUGUGCUUUUUUAUAUGAUUUUCAUGCAACUACAUCAUGGGACAAGCCAAUUUUUACAGCAUGUGUGCAACAAAAUGCGAAAAUGUGCAAACAUAUAGGAGAGAGCACAUAGAGUCGUAUUCACACAUAAUGCAGAAGAAUAGAUGUCCAUGUAGCAAAAAAAGUGUUGUAGCUACUAUGAAUAACUACCUACUAGACAAGAAUCUGGUUUGCAAGUGUUUUUUUUUCUUUGAUCUUUCCACACAGUAGUAUAUGUAACUUCAUAGCUGAGAAUUGUGUGCACAAAUCUACAACAGCUCCUCCAUCCCUAUAACCAGUAAAACACACAUUAUGCAAAAAUGAAGCCUUAGAAAAAUGAACUAGUUCUGGGUUGCAUCUGUGCAACUUAACCAACACGAGUGUGCAACUAACAACACUGCCAUAUCCAUCUACUUGUGGGGUUGAAUUUCAGUAGUUGGCAUCUUCAACUCAUAAAAAGUUGAAGAUGCCAACUCAUAUAAUUUCAGAUUCAUUUUGGUUUGGCUAAAAUUUUGUAUGCAAAAUAAAAAAAAACUUAUACUGGCUUGUGCAACUACAUCAUCUAUUUUGUGCGACUGCAAGUACUCCUACAUGCAAUUCAUAUUGCAUUUUUGUUCGACUAUGUAAUGAAUUUUGAACUGAUGAACAUGAUGAAUUUAGCACGUCCGAGCACAAGAAAUUGACAAAAUAGUGAAUUCUAAAAGAUUACAAUCUUCCAAAUAAGUAGUGCAACUACAUUCAAGUGCAUCCACAAACCUAACAAAUCAGUUACAUGUGAAUACAUGAGGAUGCUAACUACUAAAUGAUUCUUGUGCAAGUAAAGAAGUUGAAGAUGUCUCCCUCAAAAAAAAAAGUUGAAGAUGCCAACUCAUGUGGCAUUGUUGUGCAACUAUUAAGAAAAGUUGGGGAUGCCAACUCCUGAUGGUUCAUGUGUAACUAAAAUAGUUGAGGAUGCCAACUCGGUGAUAUUAUUGUUGGACUAUUUAAAAAGCUGAGACUGCCAACUCCCAAAUGGUUCUGGUGCAACUACGAAAGUUGAGGAUUCUAACUCGUAUGAUACUGUUGUGCAACAAUUCGAAAAGUUGAGGAUACCAAUUCUUAAUUAAUUCUUGUGCAACUAUAAAAGUUCGGGAUGCCAACAUCUAGCUGGUUCUUGUGGAACUGCGUAAAAAAUCACAUCCCAGGCUUCUUUGUGUAGAAAAAAAGAAAAGAACAAUGCAUAAUGCCAUUUCAUGUUACCUCAACAGCUGCUGCAAAUGAUGUGCCAUCUCCAUAUACAACUCCCACCUGCGUGGUCGCCUUCCAUUUCCACCGUUUCACAAUGCGAAAUUGGCCACCAAC
Molecule: long non-coding RNA, 2323 nt
Filed under: Triticum aestivum (bread wheat)
Lineage: Eukaryota; Viridiplantae; Streptophyta; Magnoliopsida; Poales; Poaceae
Description: long non-coding RNA (TAES_LNC020155)
Source: RNAcentral